Mya arenaria is the source of this 565-nucleotide long non-coding RNA. RefSeq lists it as uncharacterized. The transcript is spliced from 3 exons. Lineage: Eukaryota; Metazoa; Mollusca; Bivalvia; Myida; Myidae. The record is from RefSeq and is a predicted model, not a curated record.
GGAAACUUGAAACGUAGAAUCGCCAUUUUAGUUGAAGAAAAUUUUAUGUUUUAAAUCUUCUCCAGGGCUUUGUCAAUGUAUAUGCAGUAACCACCUUAUUGAUAAAGCACACAGAUGUUUGUGGAGUGAGACGUGGCAGGGUGAAAGCAGUCGAUUGUAUUAAUCGGUUGCAGAACUUCUGUUUAUGCAGUCCUGUCGCAUUGUAUACUUUAACAUCUACAAUACAGAGUGUGAAGUGAAACAAGACUUGUGUUUAUUAUAUAUUGCUGGUACCACACACCUGGACAUAUGUAACUGUUGUUUAGAUCUUGUACCCUUUCCCUACUAACUACAUUUAUAGUAGCAUGAGCUAGCCUGGGUAUAGAAGAUGAAUUAAAAUGAUUACAUUGUGACCAGAUAUUGUGCAUGGUAUUAAACUAUCAAAUAAACCAACUAAUUGGUUGUGACAGUGGUGUUUACAGUACAGGUAUAUUUACAGACUUUAAUAGCACCAGAUUAAGAUGUUUAACUAUAAGGAAAAGAAUGAAAAUUGUUUAUAUCAUGACAUGAUUCAAUAAAUGGUAAC